UGGAAGAACAGGAGCCUCUAA
This 21-nucleotide non-coding RNA is filed under the name Mus musculus (house mouse). The record is from RNAcentral. Lineage: Eukaryota; Metazoa; Chordata; Mammalia; Rodentia; Muridae.